This 253-nucleotide ribosomal RNA is filed under the name uncultured bacterium. RNAcentral's name for it is "partial 16S ribosomal RNA". It matches the Rfam family "Bacterial small subunit ribosomal RNA", at positions 524 to 776 of the family's 1533-position model. The record is from RNAcentral.
GACAGAGGGUGCGAACGUUGUUCGGAAUUACUGGGCGUAAAGCGCGUGUAGGCUGUUCGGCAAGUCGGGUGUGAAAGCCCUGGGCUCAACCUAGGAAGUGCACUCGAAACUCCCGAACUGGAGUCCCGGAGAGGAAGGCGGAAUUCUCGGUGUAGAGGUGAAAUUCGUAGAUAUCGAGAGGAACAUCGGUGGCGAAGGCGGCCUUCUGGACGGUGACUGACGCUGAGACGCGAAAGCGUGGGGAGCAAACAGG